RNAcentral lists this ribosomal RNA (224 nucleotides) under uncultured bacterium. RNAcentral's name for it is "partial 16S ribosomal RNA". It matches the Rfam family "Bacterial small subunit ribosomal RNA", at positions 1269 to 1500 of the family's 1533-position model. The record is from RNAcentral.
GGAUCUCGAAAGCCUGUCCCAGUUCGGACUGGAGUCUGCAACCCGACUCCACGAAGUUGGAUUCGCUAGUAAUCGCGCAUCAGCCAUGGCGCGGUGAAUACGUUCCCGGGCCUUGUACACACCGCCCGUCAAGCCAUGGGAGCCGGGGGGCGCCUGAAGUCCGGGACCGCGAGGACCGGCCUAGGGCGAAACUGGUAACUGGGGCUAAGUCGUAACAAGGUAUC